GUUUGUUGCCUUUAUCAAAAGUUUUCUUUAAGAAUUGUUUUUAAGGGGCUGAUGUUAAGACUGAAGGAGGAACUUUUUGGAUGAAGAUCUUGACUGGAAAAGGAGAAGAAAAGAACAGAGGACCUUCCUUUUUGUGGUUUUUCGAUCAAGAGCUUUCAAAAAGGAUUAUUAUUCAAAAGUGACUGAGACGAAGAAAAGAAAAAUCUUUUCAGUUACUGACUGCAUAGUGAGGCAAUGCUGUCUUUGAAGAACAGCUGGUGACAGACUCUUGUCAUCACGUCGUGGCUGCGUUUUGGAUGGAUGUCCUGUUCGUGGAAAUGUCUUUAUGGUGCCCACUUUCCUCCACUUCUUGACAACGACUUUAAUGAGGUUCCAUGGUACAUUUAAUGUUUUGGAAGUUGUACAUGCUUUGUAAGCUCUUUGUGGACCAUGGCUUCAGCAGUUGGAUGGAACCAAGAUGACAUCAAGAAAAUCCUACAGAAACAGCUGAUCUUUACUUGUGUUUAUUCAGAAUCACUUUGAUGACAGGUGUAUGAUAAUUACUGUUGAAAAUGAGUUAAAGUGUGAUUGGUUAAUUCUGAGCACAGUCACAUGACACAUUAUAAAAGUUAAACUUAUGCAGAGUAUUGUAAGUUUUUUUUUUUUUUUCUAAAACAUUUAAAUUUGUUUUUCAUUUCAAUUUUGUUGGUUGCUAUAUCACAUUCAAGUUGGGAAAAGAUCUCACAUUUGAUCAGAUUUAUCUUGGUUUCACUGGUUUACAUUACAAAAAAAUGGUUGAUUAAUAGCACAAUACUGUGAUAAACAUGAUGUUUUAGACUGGAUUAUCAUAAUGUGAACAUUUCAAACUGUAACACCUCUACUUUACUUAAUGAAAUGGCCCACAGGAAAGACAGGUGAAGCAGUUUCUGUUUAAAAUCAGCAGCUUAGUGUGUCAGAUAUGGGUCAAAAAUAUCUGAAAAACAUUUUCUACUAUAAAAAUAUUCAAUGUAAAAAGCUCAAUGUUAAUUCCGAACCUGCUGAACAUAGAGAUGUCACUUUUCAUUACAUUAAAACAAUAAAUAUUUAUGACCAUCAAUACUGCCCUGGUGACCACAAGCUUAUUUCAUUUCGAACUGAACAGCCUUCAUCAGACACAUGUGUGUGUACUGGGUCUGUUUAAGGAUCAAUGUCUUGUCCCUACGAACAUGCUCAUAACUGUGCCACACACACCAAGGUACCAUAACAGAGCAGAGGACAGCAUAGUGAAUACAUCAAUUAAAUUAUCAUUUUUAUUUUGUUUAUCUAAAAAAUAUAUAUUAUAUAAAAUAUUGAUUAAUUAAUCUAAUAAUUAAUCUAAC
Long non-coding RNA from Ictalurus punctatus (channel catfish), 1337 nucleotides. Lineage: Eukaryota; Metazoa; Chordata; Actinopteri; Siluriformes; Ictaluridae. The record is from Ensembl.